Aedes aegypti (yellow fever mosquito) is the source of this 72-nucleotide non-coding RNA. NCBI's taxonomy places the organism in Eukaryota, Metazoa, Arthropoda, Insecta, Diptera, Culicidae. The record is from Rfam.
GGCUCGGUAGCUUAGUUGGUAAAGCACUCGUCUAGCAUACAAGAGUCCUGGAUUCAAAUUCUAGCCGAGCAC